CGGGUGAGUAACACGUGGAUAACCUACCUAUAAGACUGGGAUAACUUCGGGAAACCGGAGCUAAUACCGGAUAAUAUAUUGAACCGCAUGGUUCAAUAGUGAAAGACGGUUUUGCUGUCACUUAUAGAUGGAUCCGCGCCGCAUUAGCUAGUUGGCAAGGUAACGGCUUACCAAGGCAACGAUGCGUAGCCGACCUGAGAGGGUGAUCGGCCACACUGGAACUGAGACACGGUCCAG
RNAcentral lists this ribosomal RNA (237 nucleotides) under uncultured Staphylococcus sp. RNAcentral's name for it is "partial 16S ribosomal RNA". It matches the Rfam family "Bacterial small subunit ribosomal RNA", at positions 103 to 334 of the family's 1533-position model. Lineage: Bacteria; Bacillati; Bacillota; Bacilli; Caryophanales; Staphylococcaceae. The record is from RNAcentral.